This 497-nucleotide ribosomal RNA is filed under the name uncultured bacterium. RNAcentral's name for it is "partial 16S ribosomal RNA". It matches the Rfam family "Bacterial small subunit ribosomal RNA", at positions 28 to 507 of the family's 1533-position model. The record is from RNAcentral.
GAUGAACGCUGGCGGCGUGCCUAAUACAUGCAAGUCGAGCGAACAGACGAGGAACUUGCUCCUUUGACGUUAGCGGCGGACGGGUGAGUAACACGUGGGUAACCUACCUAUAAGACUGGGAUAACUUCGGGAAACCGGAGCUAAUACCGGAUAAUAUUUCGAACCGCAUGGUUCGAUAGUGAAAGAUGGCUCUGCUAUCACUUAUAGAUGGACCUGCGCCGUAUUAGCUAGUUGGUAAGGUAACGGCUUACCAAGGCAACGAUACGUAGCCGACCUGAGAGGGUGAUCGGCCACACUGGAACUGAGACACGGUCCAGACUCCUACGGGAGGCAGCAGUAGGGAAUCUUCCGCAAUGGGCGAAAGCCUGACGGAGCAACGCCGCGUGAGUGAUGAAGGUCUUCGGAUCGUAAAACUCUGUUAUUAGGGAAGAACAAACGUGUAAGUAACUGUGCACGUCUUGACGGUACCUAAUCAGAAAGCCACGGCUAACUACGUG